CGUAUUUCCGUUGAAUCCUUUGAUCCUGUUAGUCCUUUCCAAUAGAUAAUUCCAAAGACGUAACAUGAUUGGGCCCCGUCACAACUGAUACUUGUAAACAAAUCCAUCUGAAAAAAUGACCGUUGGCGCCGGUAUAGUUAUAUUAGUUAUUCCCGCGCAUGUCUAUAGUUUGCAAAGCCAUGCCGCUGCUGAAAAAAUUGUGUUUAAUAAAUAGAUUUAACAAUAAAUAAUCUAAAUUCAAGUUUACAUUUAUCUAAUAAUAACACACCACGCAAUGUUUAACGCGAGUGCAUGUAAUAAAACUGCAGUAAAAUGAAAAUAUAACCUUGCCAAAUAAUAUGUUUGACCUUACAAUCUCGGUUCAGUGCAAUAAGGACCAUAAAUACCAUUGCUGAUUACUUAUCCCAGGAUAUAUGUUUAUCACUUGAAUUAAAUGGAGAUUACCAGCAUUCAAAAUUUUAUUAUUUAUUCAAGCGAGUGCUGCCACCUAGCGACGAUGUCUUUCACUUGCUUCCGACAAAAUAUAAAAUUUAUGAUGUGACGUAGCAGUGCGACCUACAGUAAUAUAAUACAAUAUUAUAGUCAAGUCUGAAGAAUUAAAUUGUCAACUGAAAGGCACUUGACCUGCAAAGACAAACUAAACGCACUAUUCAAAGUCAUAAAUACAUCCAAACAAUAAUAAACUUCAAUUGAAUAAAACGAUAUGCAUUUAAGUACUUUUUAUUAGUACACAGUACAUAACAUGUUAUUUUUUUUAACAUCUAUUGUGUAGCCGUCAAUUAAUUAUCAAUUAAAGAUUAUUAUUUGUUUUUAAUCAUCCAGGCAAUUUUAAACGUAUUAUUAGACAUAAAAUCAAUGUCAUAAAAAUUCCUUUAAAAUACUUAAAUGUUAUAGUAAUGGUAAGAAAUCAUAAUUAAUUUUUUUUAUCAAUAAUUACUCAAUAAUUGACGUAUAGCAACUGCGUAAAUAAAUUUUUUGGUAGUUUCUAGAAAAUACAAAAGAUUAAUAAAAAAAUUAGUCAUUGAAUAAACAUAAUUGAUCAACAAAUGGAUUUACGUAUAGACCAAACACUAGCUUAAAAGGAUAUGCUGAUAUCGCAAUAUCAACUUUGAGACGAGGCUAAAAUGUAUAAAAACAUUGACGCCACACCGUAGAUAUGGCAACACCGCGUUUCUCUCGCGUGAGGUCACCAAUACCACCAACUAAAGUGUUCUAGCUAUCCUUGUUGCUCUUUCAUUUUAUUUCUCAGUAUCUAUCUACCUAGCUGGGCUCUUUCUUGCUACUCGAUAGUGCUCUCACCAUACCACUGUAUUCUUGAAUUCUACCAUCAAAUCCAGCGUCAAUUAGUCUCCGAAAGAGUUUAACUUGUAUAGCUGUUCAUACUCAGAGUUUGAACAGAGCACCAAGCCCAUUAUUGCUGGCUUGAUGCUUUCUUUCUCCUUAUGUACACAUAAACUACCAUACUAUAUACUCUCCCAGAUAAAAAGUCACAUCAUGCAUAGUGUGAGUUUAAAAUUUUUCUAUAGUAACCUUUUUAACAUCAAAUAUUACUGUACCUAAGCAUUAUAUUUUGAAUAGAAAAUACAUCCGCGUUGGUUGUUAACUCUCGUAAAUGUAAGAAACUAAAUCAAGGUAAUACAAUCGUAAAGAUCGAGGGGCCACGAAGCGUGGGAAUCACUUGUCCCGUUGACUCAAUCUCUUCCCCCAUUACUUUUUGCUAUAUAUUUAUAUAAAUAGAUAAAUAGAUACUGAGAUAUCUUUUAAAUUAAAUUUCUUUAACGAAACAUGUCCAAGCCAAUCAUUUUAAAAACUUCAAUCGUGCUUUUAAUGGCUAUUCCUCUGUUAUUUUUUCAUUUUGGAGUCCAAUAAAAUUCAACUAGCUUUUGCUGAUGGAAUAAUGCGGUCAGAAUGGCCAGCAAAGGGCGUACCAAACAGAUAUAUGUGUACGUAAGUUAACGUAUGCAUUCAUCUGCAUGUUUGUAUGAAA
Long non-coding RNA from Cotesia glomerata, 1987 nucleotides. RefSeq lists it as uncharacterized. The transcript is spliced from 2 exons. The record is from RefSeq and is a predicted model, not a curated record. NCBI's taxonomy places the organism in Eukaryota, Metazoa, Arthropoda, Insecta, Hymenoptera, Braconidae.